RNAcentral lists this ribosomal RNA (497 nucleotides) under uncultured bacterium. Its description in RNAcentral is "partial 16S ribosomal RNA". It matches the Rfam family "Bacterial small subunit ribosomal RNA", at positions 28 to 507 of the family's 1533-position model. The record is from RNAcentral.
GAUGAACGCUGGCGGCGUGCCUAAUACAUGCAAGUCGAGCGAACGGACGAGAAGCUUGCUUCUCUGAUGUUAGCAGCGGACGGGUGAGUAACACGUGGAUAACCUACCUUUAAGACUGGGAUAACUUCGGGAAACCGGAGCUAAUACCGGAUAAUAUUUUGAACCGCAUGGUUCAAAAGUGAAAGACGGUCUUGCUGUCACUUAUAGAUGGAUCCGCGCUGCAUUAGCUAGUUGGUAAGGUAACGGCUUACCAAGGCAACGAUGCAUAGCCGACCUGAGAGGGUGAUCGGCCACACUGGAACUGAGACACGGUCCAGACUCCUACGGGAGGCAGCAGUAGGGAAUCUUCCGCAAAGGGCGAAAGCCUGACGGAGCAACGCCGCGUGAGUGAUGAAGGUCUUCGGAUCGUAAAACUCUGUUAUUAGGGAAGAACAUAUGUGUAAGUAACUGUGCACAUCUUGACGGUACCUAAUCAGAAAGCCACGGCUAACUACGUG